UAAUUACAUAAUUGACACAACGAAGCCCUAAACUGCCAUGUGCAAACUCUCGAUAUCAUUUUACACCACUCACGUCACCCACCAAAUCAGAGAGAGAGAGAAAGCCGCCGGCAAAGGAGGAAGCUGACCUCCGGUGACCGGCCUUGGGUCCAUGAAACUUCGGCGAGUCAGAUCUGUCGUGCAUAUCCCGUUUUGGUGUAACUCCUACCUAUUGCUUCACUGCUCCGGCAACUGAUGAAGGAUUACGGUGGUUUUGGUUUUGAGCUGGUGGUUGAUGAUGAUGGGUUUUUGUUGCUCGCCGAGUGAAACGGGUAGAGGUGAUUCCAACAAGUGGGAUUGUCACAAUUGAUGGGUUUUUGCAGCUGAAAGCAAUUGGGGGUAGUAAUCACCGGUAGCUGAGACGACUGCCGGCGGCAGAAACGACUCCGACAGUCGGACACUGGUCAAGAGAGGAGAGAACCCUCUCGAUUUCAACUUCAACUUCCAAGUUUGGGAUCUCUAAUCUUUUCUCAUCAAAAACUUCCGGUGAGUGAAGAACCAUUGUUGCUGCAACUCUGCAAGGGACACUUUGGGGACACUUUGGGUCAGGUAGUCAUCUUUGGUAGUUGGAGCUUUGGUUCUUAAAGUGUAAGGCUUGAUUCACAUAGGAGAGACACUCUCAGGUAAUCCUAAUGAACCACCUUCAACCAAAAGGACUCUGAUAUUGAUGGAUUUAAAAAUUGUUUUCCACACUUAACCUAACAAUUCAAUAUCCAAAUUUUUGUAAUGAGAAAUUUUUAAUUCCCCUCACCUGUAUAGUUAUUUUGGUUAAAUUAUAUUUAUCAUAUGUAUUAUAGUUGAAGAGUUAAAGAUUAAAAAAGUUGCAGUUUCUUUAUAUAUACAAUAUUAAAAUUCUUGAAUCUUAUUGUUCAAUAAAGUUCGUAUAUAAUUUUCGAAGUAAGUUGUUUAUUUUUUGUUGAUCCCUGCAUCUUAAAUCCAUCUGGAUGCUUUUCAUUUUGGGGAUUCAAGAUAAGGUAGACUCUACAUAUGUAUAAAUGUGAAGAAAAUUAAAAGGUUUUAUGUAUGUUUCCGUUAGGCAAGUCUUCGAUAUUAUGCAUUAAAUUUGAAAUUUCAUGUAUGCUUUAACUAUUGAUGUAUGUAUCUAAAGUUUUUGAAUGUAGUAAAUUUUAACUAAAUUGAUACAUUAUGAUAUUAUCGCUGCAGUGCAAUUGUACAUCAAAUACAUAAUUCCAUUCUUAUUUAUGUUGAUGCGGAGGCUUAACGAUUUACGCCAUCCCGCAGGUCGGUAUUAAUUCGAGUUCAUCUACGUUUCACGUCAUGUGAGUCACUUGAUCGUUUUUCCGGUUUUGAUCAUCGUUGGGUUUCUAUUUAGCAUGUUUUUUCGCCCCCACCUCUAAUUGCACAGUUUUACGCCCCCCCCCCCCGCCCCGCAACGCGGGGGGCUCAAUUCUAGUUCAUAAACAUUACCCGUAGCUGAAUUCCAGAUAAAAACGCCAAUUUUCCACUUCACGAGGGUCAACCUUAUUUAUUUGCAUUCAUACCAUAGAGAGUUGCCAUAAAUGAAAAAUAUGAAAUGAAAAAAAAAAAAAAAAAAAAACCGUCAUGGGCAUGCCUUAUUUCA
This is a long non-coding RNA of Helianthus annuus (common sunflower), 1621 nucleotides long. RefSeq lists it as uncharacterized. The transcript is spliced from 2 exons. The record is from RefSeq and is a predicted model, not a curated record. Lineage: Eukaryota; Viridiplantae; Streptophyta; Magnoliopsida; Asterales; Asteraceae.